UACGUAGGGUGCAAGCGUUGUCCGGAAUUAUUGGGCGUAAAGAGCUCGUAGGCGGUCUGUCGCGUCGGCUGUGAAAACCCGGGGCUCAACCCCGGGCCUGCAGUCGAUACGGGCAGACUAGAGUGCGGUAGGGGAGACUGGAAUUCCUGGUGUAGCGGUGAAAUGCGUAGAUAUCUGGAGGAACACCGGUGGCGAAGGCGGCGUUCUGGACUGUAACUGACACUGAGGAACGAAAGCCAGGGGAGCAAACGGG
Molecule: ribosomal RNA, 253 nt
Filed under: uncultured bacterium
Lineage: Bacteria
Description: partial 16S ribosomal RNA
Rfam family: Bacterial small subunit ribosomal RNA
Source: RNAcentral